RNAcentral lists this long non-coding RNA (674 nucleotides) under Canis lupus familiaris (dog). RNAcentral's name for it is "lncRNA (ENSCAFG00000059347.1, ENSCAFG00845030882.1)". Lineage: Eukaryota; Metazoa; Chordata; Mammalia; Carnivora; Canidae. The record is from RNAcentral.
CCCCAACCCCACCCCAUGUGAUUCUGCUGCAGGUGAUCUGAGAAAUGGAAUCACACAAAAGUGGCUCUGACCACAUCCCAUUUCUUACCUGGCGUAUCUUACAUGAGAGAAGAAGGAGAUUCUAAGGCCUUGUGUCGAAGGUCUUUUUCUGGGAUUUCUGCUUAUAGGUGCCUCUUCGGGAACAGGCAGUGAGAACCUGGAAUGACAGUAACAAGUCUCCUCCAAAGCAGCGCUGUGUCUGUGCUGUAUGGUCAGAUGGGCACACCAGCAGCUGCCUUCUCUGACUCUUCUGUAUUUUCAGGAGAUGGCAUUUUUAAAAAAUAAUAUUUUUAUGAGAUGAAUCUCAUUUUCUCUAAUUCUAUAAAUAAGGAAACAAAAGCAUAAACAUCUGCACUUAGGGGAACAAGUGACCAAAGCCAGAUGCUCCCAGCUCCAGGGGAUUCACAGCAGUGAAUGGUGAACUUGCCCACUGUGCAAACUAUUGACCUGUGGCUGGAUGCUCUGCAUUUGCCAAAAAGAACUGGUUCUGCCCACGGUGCAUCAAUGCUUAAGGUGAUGAGUGGAUGCCUGGCCAGCCUCCAAUCCCAGGGUCUGAAAGCUGCAGCAACUGUAGAAAAGAUACUGGACACUCCUCAGAAAUAUUUUGUUGGCAUAAAAAGAAAUAUUGAUUAAUU